UACGUAGGUGGCAAGCGUUGUCCGGAUUUACUGGGCGUAAAGAGCGCGCAGGCGGUCGUUCAAGUCGCGUGUGAAAGCCCCCGGCUCAACUGGGGAGGGUCACGCGAUACUGAUCGACUCGAAGGCAGGAGUGGGUAGUGGAAUUCCCGGUGUAGUGGUGAAAUGCGUAGAUAUCGGGAGGAACACCAGUGGCGAAGGCGACUACCUGGCCUGUUUCUUGACGCUGAGGCGCGAAAGCUAGGGGAGCAGACGGG
This 254-nucleotide ribosomal RNA is filed under the name uncultured bacterium. RNAcentral's name for it is "partial 16S ribosomal RNA". It matches the Rfam family "Bacterial small subunit ribosomal RNA", at positions 524 to 776 of the family's 1533-position model. The record is from RNAcentral.